RNAcentral lists this ribosomal RNA (722 nucleotides) under Odorrana khalam. RNAcentral's name for it is "partial 12S ribosomal RNA". The stretch from base 1 to 496 matches the Rfam family "Bacterial small subunit ribosomal RNA", at positions 794 to 1533 of the family's 1533-position model. The record is from RNAcentral. Lineage: Eukaryota; Metazoa; Chordata; Amphibia; Anura; Ranidae.
GCCCAGCCGUAAACAAUUACUUACACCAACCUACGCAGGGAAUUACGAGCCAUGCUUAAAACCCAAAGGACUUGACGGUGUCCCAUCCCCCUAGAGGAGCCUGUUCUUUAAUCGAUACUCCCCGCUGUACCUGACCAUUCCUUGCUCCCAGUCUGUAUACCUCCGUCGAAAGCUUACCCUGUGAACGCAAGUAAGCCUAAUGGACCCCCCCCCCACACGUCAGGUCAAGGUGCAGCUCACGGAAUGGGAAGUAAUGGGCUACAAUUUCUAAUGUAGAACAAACGAAAGACUAUGUGAAAUCAAAGUCACGAAGGUGGAUUUAGUAGUAAAAAGAAAACAGAGUGUUCUUUUUAACCCGGCUCUGGGACGCGUACACACCGCCCGUCACCCUCUUCAACAGCCUAGCUCACCGUUCAUAACCCUUUACCCGCGCCUUAGAAGAGGCAAGUCGUAACAUGGUAAGUGUACUGGAAAGUGCCCUUGGACAACAAAAUAUAGCUUAAUGAAAGCCCCUCGCUUACACCGAGAAAAUGUCUGUUUAACCCAAACUAUUUUGAGCCUGAAAUCUAGCCCAUUUUGUAUACGUAACCUUCACAAUCAACUGCCUCCAAACAAAACAUUUUGACAUUUUAGUAUAGGUGAUAGAAAAAUUUAUAGGCGCUUCAGAUACAGUACCGCAAGGGAAUAAUGAAAUAGAAAUGAAAUAACCUAAAGCCCUAUGC